CAGAGGGUUUGAUUAUGGCUCAGAUUGAACGCUGGCGGGAUGCUUUACAUGCAAGUCGAACGGCAGCACGGACUUCCGGUCUGGUGGCGGGUGGCGAACAGGUGAGUAAUGUAUCAAGACGUGCCCCUAGUGGCAGGGGAUAACUACGCGAAAGCGUAGCUAAUACCGCAUACGCCCUUCGGGGGAAAAGCAGGGGACAACUUCGGGCUCUUUAUUAGAGCGGCCGAUAUCGGAUUAGCUAGUUGGUGGGGUAACGGCUCGCAAGAGGCGACGAUCCGUAGCUGGUUUGAGAGGACGACCAGCCGCACUGGGACUGAGACUUUGACCCAGACUCCUACGGGAGAGCAGCAGUGAGAGAUUUGGACAAUGGGAAACCCUGAUCCAGCCAUCCCGCGUGUGCGAUGAGGCCUUCCCGGGUUGUAAAUAACACUUUGGCGGGAAAAGAAACGGCACGGGAUGAUACCCCGUGCAACUGACAGUACCUGCAGAAUAAGCACCGGCUAACUACGUGCCAGCAGCCGCGAAGUAUGCAGCAGGGUGCAAGCGUUAAUCGGAAUUACUGGGCGUAAAGCGUGCGCAGGCGGUUCCGGAAAAGAAGAGAUCUUGAAAUCCCAGAGCUUAACUUUGGAACUGCAUUUUUAACUACCGAGCUAGAAGUGUGUCAGAGGAGGUGGAAUUCCGCGUGGCAGUGAAAUGCGGCCGAUAUGCGGAGGAACACCGAUGGCGAAGGCAGCCUCCUGGGAUAACACUGACGCUCAUGCACGAAAAGCGUGGGGAGCAAACAGGAUUAGAUACCCUGGUAGUCCACGCCCUAAACGAUGUCAACUAGCUGUUGGGGCCUUCAGGCCUUGGUAGCGCAACUAACGCGUGAGGUGACCGCCGCAAGUACGGUCGCAAGAUUAAAACUCCAAAGGAAUUGACGGGGACCCGCACAAGCGGUGGAUGAUGUAGUUAAUUCGAUGCAACGCGAAAACCUUACCUACCCUUGACAUGUGUCUGGAAUCCCGAAGGGUUGAGUGUAUAGAGAACCAGGAACACAGGUGCUGCAUGGCUGUCGUCGCUCGUGUCGUGAGAUGUUGGGUUAAGUCCCGCAACGAGCGCAACCCUUGUCAUUAGUUGCUACGAAGGGCACUCUAAUGAGACUGCCGGUGACAAACCGGAGGAAGGUGAGGAUGACGUCAAGUCCUCAUGGCCACUAUGGAGCAGGGAUUCACACGUCAUGCAAUGGUCGGGACGGGGGUCGCCAACCCGCGAGGAAUGACCCAGAAACCCGAUCGUAGUCCGGAUCGCAGUCUGCCGCUCGACUGCGUGGAAGUCGGAAUCGCUAGUAAUCGCGGAUCGGCAUGUCGCGGUGAAUACGUUCCCGGUCUUGUACACACCGCCCGUCACACCAUGGGAGUGGGUUUUACCAAGUAGUUAGCCUAGCAAGCUUCAGGAGGCGAUUACGGUAAGUUCAUGACUGGGGUGAAGUCGUAACAAAGGUAA
This 1485-nucleotide ribosomal RNA is filed under the name uncultured Bordetella sp. RNAcentral's name for it is "partial 16S-23S ribosomal RNA intergenic spacer". It matches the Rfam family "Bacterial small subunit ribosomal RNA". The record is from RNAcentral. Lineage: Bacteria; Pseudomonadati; Pseudomonadota; Betaproteobacteria; Burkholderiales; Alcaligenaceae.